CCUUGACCUAACCCAAAUAUUCUUUUUCCAAGGAAUAUUCCUUUUCUAUUUGAGGAAUAAUUCUUUUUGCCCUAGGUUGUGAAGCAACCUAUAUUUCUGUCACUCCCAAAAUUCCUAAAUACAUCUCAUAAAUUGUUUGGGUCAUAUCUUCCUCAAAUAUGGCAAAAUAUUUCAUUGGCCAUGUUUCCCAUCAUGCUCAAUUAAUUCCCUUUCUAUUCUGGCCUGAAUGGCAGUUUGUGAAGCAAGUGCCAUUUAUCUUUGCCCAAUUCAACCAAAACUUCUUGGACACCUUUUCUUGUCCAUAUCAUUGCCCCAUGCCAAAAUUCAACUCAACUUUCCUAGUAAAUAUUUGUAAGCAAUUUUCCAAAGUUUUUGUCCAGGAAGAAACUUUGUGAAGGAGCUAUAUUCUAGGAAUAUCCAAAUGAGUUGAAAUUUUGCAAGGUCCUUCAUAUGAUCAAAUCAUGAAUAUCCACCAAAUUUGAGCUCAUGUAACUCAUAUAUGUGAGCCCAGCUCCAAAUCUUAGUUUCUGGUCAGAUUUUCAGUUUGUGAAGCAACUAUAUUUUAUAUUGCUUCAUUUAAGCUGAAACUUUUCCCAGGCAUUCUUCCAUCUAGAUAAACUCCCUCCACCAAAAUUUGGCUCAAUCCAUUACACCAUUUGCCCUGUGCAAUUUUUCCAAGUUUCUGUCCAGAAUGAAGCUUUGUGAAGCAAGUGCCACUUUGAUAUUUUCAAAGGGCAUGAAACUUCUACAACAGCUUCAUAUCAUCAAAUAACCUACCUCCACCAAAUUUCAGCUCAUAACAAUCAAGGAUGUGAGUGCCACUUCAUAAUGUUCAAUUCUGGCCAUUAUGGUUGUUUCUAAAGAAACCCUCAUCUAAACCUCUUCUCUUAGUCUGAUUUUUGGUGAUCAGCAUCACCUUAGUGUGUGAUCAUCACCAGACAAAUUAUUUACCACGUUACCAAGCUGGUGUCACCAUAGCAAGUUAGAAACACCUUCCUGUUUAUUUACUUUGGAGCUAAGUGCAAAUCUCUUCUUUGCCCCUAGACCGAUAUAUUUCCUCAUUUUGACUAAGCGCACGACGGUCUAUCUACUAGACAUGGUCGGGCGGGCCAAAACCCGGAGUUUGCUCCAGUGCGUGUGGUGAUCACGCUGAUGUCAUGCCUAAUUGCGUGCUCUGGCUUGUUCUUGCCCCUGUGCUCGUCUCCUCCCUCCUCGUCUCAACGUCCAACCAUGUCCUGGAGCUUCCCCGUGAUCGACUGCAUCUCCCUGCGUCGCUGCCUCGUCGUGGUUCGCCUUAAAUGCGUCGCAAACGCCAUGCCCAGCCUCUGUCCACCAUUAGAGCACUGCACAAGCUUGCUAGCGUUGCUCUAGAGCCCUCCCCUCGGCUAUAUAAGCGUGCCCCGAGCCCUCCCGCAGCUCAUCCACUCCUCAUUUGCCUCCCUAGCCCACCAGAGUCCUCGGCCCCCUCUUCUUUUCGCCAAAGAUCGCCAUGGCCGCCUCGGUUCCUCCUCGGUUCCGGCGAACCUAGCCCCUCUCCUCUCCUCCAGAGCUGUCCACUAGCUUCCCCUCAUCCCCACGGUUCGCCCCACCACCUUGCCCCACGCCGGAGCCCCUCUGGCCACGGUCUCCACGCUUGGCCGUCGCCUCUGUCUCUUGGCCACCUAUUCGUUCCGGCCAUCCGGUGCUCCUCUCUCCCCCCCGUCGCCACCAGAGCAUCCCCCUCGUCCCCACAUCGCCCCGCCCUCUCGCCCUAGCCUCCACGUCGCCGGAGUGCUCCCCCUCCAAGAAAAAGGCCGCCGGAGCCCGCUCCCGUUCCUCCAUCGCCACGGUCGUUCCGCUCCUCCCCGGUGCCCCUCUGCCUGGGGAUGGGUGCAGCUCGGUCCCACGAUCUCGUCGGUGGUCGUCGCUCGGCCUCCGGGGGCCUGAGCCGGCCGCCACGUCACCGGCAGCGCGGCCCCUCCCCUACCACUUCUGUCCUGCACGGGGGAGCAGCGGGAGGAAGAAGACGCCCGCGGCUGGCCCUCCUCCCUGUCGCCUGGGCCCCGCCGUCAGUGGCGCAGCAGGCCCAGCUGAUGUGGCAAGUGGAAGCGCUCCCGGGUGAGUACGUUUUCAUUUGCCGGAAGCGUAUUUCCGUUUCUACGCUUUCAUUUGCCUAAAAACGUACUUCUUUCCUUCAUCAGCCCGUAAUGCAUUUUCUAACUCAGAAAGCGUAGUUUCUGAAAUCCGUUUCUGUCUUAUCCACUCAGGGAUCCGGCUAUGAAUACUCUUUUUACAGAAAAGUCCCUGAUCUUCUACACCUCAUAACUCCGCAACCGUAACUCCGAUUGAGGUGAAACCAACGCUCACGUGUUCGUCUCGUCGAGCUCUUUCUGUUGGUACCAUUUUCAUAAAGUGUUCACACUAUGAAAAUGACCAUUAUGCCCUUGCCUCUAAUCAGCCCCCUCCAAGGGAGAACCGUCCGUCGUUUCGCAAGCCACAACAGCCACUUGCAUGGUGGUCAUGCAGUAGCCAUGGUUUUCAACUUGAAUAUUUAAUAAAUGUUUGCUUGUUUUGAUACAGUUAUCAUUGUUCCGGUGAUGCUUAUAAAUCUAUUUUCACUCUCAUGCUAUGCUCUUCUGCAUCUUGUUAUCUUGCACUUAUUACUAGUAUUAUUGUUAUAUGUCAUGCUUGAUGGUAGUAGCAGUAUGUUCUUUCGGAUGCAUAUUUAUGAGCUGUUAUCUAGUGUCGUAGCUAUGCAUGUUACUUUGUAUCAUGCUGGUUAUAUGCUUACUUGGUAGUAUUCUGGAUGAGUUCUUGCAUGUUAUUUAUUUAUGAUGCUAGUGGUCAUGAUAUGCUCAUGAGUAAUGUUAUGCCCGUCAGCUUACCAUGCUCAUUUGGUUAAUGUUUCAUGAAUAUGUUGCACCUCCAUGCUUAUGUUGAUUUAUGUUCAUGCAUUGUUGUUGCAUCAUGUUAUUUUCAUAUGACUCAGCUCCUUGCAUUCAAGUUUAACCGGACUUAAUUGAACUUGAACAACUGUUGGCUGAGUCAUGGUGCCACCGUAUCGAGCUGACCAGUGCAACCACACUUACCUUUAUGGGAGGGUCCUAACUAGGUCUAUUGUCAUGCCUCUCGCCGGUGCCUCUAACGAGGGAAGGUUAUGGGCACACGCUACCCUGAUCAGGUAGGCGGACAUAAGCCUUGUGUGCCCGUAGUUGUUGUUAGGCGCCUUUUUGUCCCCGUUUGGGACCGUUUAUGUUUUGCCACGACGGUGGCCAUUGGUGUCUUUGGUAGGCACGGGGCCACCCAGGACUGAACCCUGGGGGGUGUUGGUCGGAGUGGCUGGGAGAGUGUCAUGGCAGUAGGACGGUUUUUUCGGAACGCCGUUGGUCCACCCGAAUGGGAGUGCGAGGCCAUGGGUUCCGUGGUGUGGGUACAGUGUGCUAACCUCUGCAGAGUGUGUGUUAAAACUAUCGAUGGCCGUGCCCGCGGAUAAGGGCCCAGUUCGUGUCGGUCACACUAUGUGUCAACAGUAAAAAUAAUAAUGUGAUUAAUAACAACCCCGGUUUGAUGAUGAGAUAAGUUGGUUCUGUGAUCCGUGAAUGAUCACCAUUUGGUUACGAGGUAACCCGUUGAACCAAGAUGGUUCCGUUUGUGAUCUAUGAAUGAUCACUGUGGUAUCGAGGAUACCGAGUUGUUGGAUAUUUGUGAUGUUGUGCGAGAAUCGUGGGUAAAGAUCAAGCUCCUUGGGUCAUUUAAUGAUUACUACGGUAUUGUUUAUACCAAGCUUGAUUUGAUCCUGAGAUGAUCGUGUAGUGUCUGAGGUUGGUAAGUGAUGCAUAUGAUGGUUAUGAGGUAACCCGAGCAGAAUAAGUGGUGCAUACAGUGUCAUCAUGUUGCAUGCUAGUAUCAUCAGGUUUAUAUAUGUUCAUGCCAUGCUCAUAUUGUUCUAGCGGUAUUAUGUUUAUGUUGUUCAUGCCAUGUUAUCCUGAUGAUCUCAUGAUAAUUCCUGCUUAACCUGUAAUUGCAAUGCUAUUGUUUAUCUUGAAUGCUUCUGGUUAUUGUGAGCUUGCAAGUACAUUCAAUGUACUGACCUGGCGUGUCAUGCCAGUUUGCAGGUCGUGCCUGGAUUGCUUGCUUGUUUGGUGUGGUUCCUGUGUUCGCGAGCUAGGAUAAACAUUCCAGCCAGAGUCCCUGCAAACUGGAGUCCAUCAUCGCCGUUCGCUAUUCCGCUGCCAGUAGUUAUUUCGCUGCCUCGAGUUGUUAUGCUGCUUGUAUAGAGCAAGCGUGGUUGGCGUAGUGUCGCCGUGCCGAUGUUAUUCAUUGUAAUAUCGGAGACCUUGUAUUCCUAGUCGUGUUGUAAUAGAGAGCUGGUUUGUUCUAUGCUAAGCAGUGCCGUAUUCCAGAAGACUUCACCUCGAUCUCUGGGCUGGAAUACGGGGCGUUCCGGUUUUCUCUGAGCCGGGGUGCCACAGGCUUGGUAUCAGAGCAGGUCUGGCUGUAGAGUGUCCUAGUACGCUAGAACGUUAGAAAAAAGUAGUAUAGGGUCUGGUUGUUGCCCUUACUUGCUAAAUUUGAUUGUUGCAUUUGUUUGCCACAUAUAGUCUUAUCUCGGUUACCCUAACCCCUGUUUCAUGCGUAGAUGGCGGUCAACUUCCAUGGGUUCAGUGCCAUCCCCAUAGCUCCCGGUGCUGUUCCUAUUGCGUUUAGUCCCACUCCUGCACCUCUCAGCUUUGCCACCCUCCUUGGCGAUAUGUGGCGUAGCAUUUAUCCUCUCGGAGAUCCACCUCUUUAUCAAGUAUUUGAGUCUCCUGCUGGAGGAAGAAUCCUGGAGUAUGUUGCUCAUGUCCAUCUGUCAACCCCGAUUCCUGUUGGUAAGCGCACCUAGAGUUUCCACGGUGGUUACGGUACUACUCCCGAGCGUGCCGUCCAGCUUGCCACAAUGGCAGCAAUCACCGGUCUUCAUCAUCAUGAGAGCAUGGUGCAAGAGAACCGUGCUUAUCAAUAUUAUCCCACCAUCGUCGAGAAGCCUAGGCGGAUCCAGUUUUCGUCUGUCGACCCUCAAGAUGACCCGGCUAUCCUCGCCAUGUCCCGUUACAUGACAGCCGAGUGUCUUCUUAUUUCCGAGUUAGUCCAAGACGCCAUUCGAGCCAGGAGAUCGCUUGGUGCUUUCCUACCUCAGUCUCCGCCUGUUUCUCCAACCCCUCCGCCUUGUCCAUUCGGAGUUUCUGGGUCAGCAGUUCCACUCGCUACUCCCUUAGCUUCCUCGUCAGUUCGUGAGCGUUUGCUCAAGCGUAGGAUGUAAUCCUUCAUGUAGUGCUUGUGCAUCUGCUGUAGUAUCAUGAUUGUGUGUGCCUGUGUGGAGCACCUUUGUAGCUUGUUUGCUGUGUGCUUUGUUGCAAUAAAUCGUUUUCUCGUGCUUCUUUGUUUUGAAUCCUCGGUGUUACCCCCUUAUGGAAAUUACUCCUUGACCAACACCGGAUCAGAAGAAGCCGUGAGCAGUACAGAUAUACCCCAAGGAACUCAGUUAAAAGCAAUGAGAUUUUCAGCCGACAACAUUGUAUUGCAGACAUCCGGUCUGAAUACAAGUAUAUUCUGCUCAGACUUUCAGCAACAAGUACCUGUCAGAGAUAUACUUUUAUCGCAGCAAUGAUUAAAUCAGCAACAUGACAAAACUGGAUCCAAGUCCAUCAUGCAUUCCCAGUCAAGGGUAUGGUCCAUACGCGAUGAUUGAAUCUUCCAUAAGCCAAAUUUAAAACAUUGCGACACCCAGAAGUCAGUCCAAAUACGCAAUGAAUUCAACAAUGACAGCCAGACAAUUCUUUUCAUAUAAAUAAUCAGCUGCCGGACUGACAAUAAUAUAUAUAUAUAUAUAUGUCAUUCCAUUCACCAAAAAAAUCAGUCCCAUCCUUCUCAACAAUUUAUUGGCGAAGUGUACAAAGACAAGGUUCCCAGUCUGCCUCAUUGAGUAUGAAUGGAUUCCCAUGCAAGAUAUUCAGUCUUCUCAAGAAAAUACUGCAAAAGUUUCUAGCACAAGGUACCGAGUCUUCCCUAGCAAGUCUUUAAGGGGGGAAGCUUAUGAGGUACGGUACCCCGUUUUCUUCAAUAAGAUAUCCGCCGAAGGCUUCGAGCACAAGCCAUCCAGUCUUCCUCAGCACGAUACCCUGAUGGUUUCCAAAUGCAAGCUUCCCAAUCUUCUUCAAUACGAAAAUAGUACAAGACAUUAAACUACGAAUUGUUAGCAUAUGGCAGUGUUUUCCAAGUGGCAGAUCUGCAAUAGUUUGGUCUGAAACAAGAAUCAGUCAGGACGAAGGUAUGCCUCGAGAAUCAAAUAUUUGUUCAUACCAUGAGUAUGCUGCCAAGUCCAUGCAAGUCUCUCGCAUAAGGAAGAAUUCACAGAAAGACAACAUUGGGGCAAUAGUCUUGGCAGUGAUUAUCAAGAUCAGCCCCGCAAUUAUUAAACCUGGCACAGUCUGGCAUAAUCAACAACAUUAUUGAGAUCUGUAUAACCACACGUGAGCCGGAUAAAUAUACCAAGGCUCAAAACAUGAACCAUACCAAGGUAUGAUUGUAAGAUAUUGCACAUGACAGUAUUCAGCGCCGCGAAAAUAAUCAAGGAUAUAUAUAUAUAUAAGGCCUCGCUCUUUCAGUUAAGGAUCCAGAUGAAGAAAGUAAUAAUGAAAGAGCAAGAAUACAUGUAUGCUGGUUAUUGUGUGAGCAAUGUGGUAUGUAUGCCCAAGACAGACUUAUUCCAUAUCGAACCCCAUGAAGAUACGCCUAAGAGGUCUACUCCAUUCUAGAAAGGUCCCCAUGGCAAGGCAACCAGCUCAGUCCACAGUAUGCUCAGAACUAUCAGCAUUGAAUGCCCGAGUUUGUUAAGUCCGAACCCAGGACAACUCCAUAUAUUGACCUCAGCACCCGCGAUGGAGCAUCGCACGGACUGUUAUUCCCAUGGAGAUACCGGCAAAAAUGAAGAAUCAGUAUGAGAACACAUACUUUGAGGAUUGUUGCCCCUCACAUAUGGGAAGCAAUUAAAGAAUAGCCUGUGCGAAUGGGAUUCUUUGCCAAGAUCACCGCCGGUCAAGUCUGCAAAUGUUAUCAUCAGGGGAUGGUGCAUUUUUUAUCUGUCAUGGCAAGCGACAGUCAAACCUUGGGUACAAUUUGGAUACUCAAGACUGUGAAGCCAGUCAAGAUAAGUCAGAAACUCAUGCAAGAUGUCAAAAUCAAUUAACAAAACAGGUAUGAUCCACCUCACUGUUUUGAACCCCGAAGGCAUGCAUAUAUUCGAGGAACCCGAUGCCUGGAUAGAAGCGAUUCUUUGUUCUACGGGAAGAGGUGUUCCCCAACUCUGUGGAAUAUUCUCGGUACUCGAUACGAGAAUAACAUCUGCAGCAAGGAUCAAUAUCAAGAAGGACAAGUAUGUGAGUAAAGAUAAUGUUUCAGAUGCCAGCUAAGCCAACAUAUAUGAAAGAAAAUUUAAGUCAGGAACAUAUGAGGUAAGUCCUGUCAGAAUGUCAGGUACGGCGAAGCAAACCACCCCAGAUCAAAACCGUCAGUCAUAUCCAAUUCAGUGGAAAUAUUAUAUGCGAAUGAAUAAAAGAAACCCGAGUUGGCAACGGUUUCUUCAAGUCAGAAAAAGUUAUUUAACCCUGAGCAACCAAAUCUCGAGGACGAGAUUUAUUUAAGGGGGGAAGGUUUGUAAUAGCCUGGUUCUGCGCUUUUCUUUUUCCUUUGAUUUUCUUGGAUUUCUGGUUUGAUUUGCUUUUCCGUGGCUAUGUGGUUCUGAAACUUCGGAAGAUCAUGUCUUCCUAGGUUUUAUAGUGGCUUGUCACACUCGUCAUCAUUCCAAGAUCAUGUCAUUUUCCACCCUUGACCUAACCCAAAUAUUCUUUUUCCAAGGAAUAUUCCUUUUCUAUUUGAGGAAUAAUUCUUUUUGCCCUAGGUUGUGAAGCAACCUGUAUUUCUGUCACUCCUAAAAUUCCUAAAUAAUUCUCAUAAAUUGUUUGGGUCAUAUCUUCCUCAAAUAUGGCAAAAUAUUUCAUUGGCCAUGUUUCCCAUCAUGCUCAAUUAAUUCCCUUUCUAUUCUGUCAUGAAUGGAAGUUUGUGAAGCAAGUGCCAUUUAUCUUUGCCCAGUUCAACCCAAACUUCUUGGACACCUUUUCCUGUCCAUAUCAUUGCC
This 8155-nucleotide long non-coding RNA is filed under the name Triticum aestivum (bread wheat). RNAcentral describes it as "long non-coding RNA (TAES_LNC018019)". The record is from RNAcentral. Lineage: Eukaryota; Viridiplantae; Streptophyta; Magnoliopsida; Poales; Poaceae.